UGGGGGAUAUUGCACAAUGGGCGAAAGCCUGAUGCAGCGACGCCGCGUGGGGGAUGAAGGCUUUCGGGUUGUAAACCUCUUUCGCUAUCGAACAAGGCCCGCUUAGGGUGGGUUGAGGGUAGGUGGAGAAGAAGCGCCGGCUAACUACGUGCCAGCAGCCGCGGUAAUACGUAGGGCGCGAGCGUUGUCCGGAAUUAUUGGGCGUAAAGGGCUUGUAGGCGGCUUGUUGCGCCUGCUGUGAAAACGCGGGGCUUAACUUCGCGCGUGCAGUGGGUACGGGCAGGCUUGAGUGUGGUAGGGGUGACUGGAAUUCCAGGUGUAGCGGUGGAAUGCGCAGAUAUCUGGAGGAACACCGAUGGCGAAGGCAGGUCACUGGGCCAUUACUGACGCUGAGGAGCGAAAGCAUGGGUAGCGAACAGGA
Molecule: ribosomal RNA, 421 nt
Filed under: bacterium
Lineage: Bacteria
Description: partial 16S ribosomal RNA
Rfam family: Bacterial small subunit ribosomal RNA
Source: RNAcentral